This is a non-coding RNA of Rattus norvegicus (Norway rat), 202 nucleotides long. NCBI's taxonomy places the organism in Eukaryota, Metazoa, Chordata, Mammalia, Rodentia, Muridae. The record is from Rfam.
UGGCAGGGCCAACGUAGCUUUUACUGAUUUGCCUGUUUAGCAAGUGGACAGGAUGCCAGUCUGGCAGUUUGUGUUGACGAUAAAUCACAACUAGACAUUUUAUUUAAAAUCUGGCACUGGCUUGGGAGAGGUGAGGGAUUGUCGAUUUGUUUUUAUUUUGGAGGCCAGGCACAAUCAUAACACAAACAGGCCACCUGGAAAC